GUUAAUUUUCUAGAAAGUGAACCUUUUGCAAAUUGCUACUAAGACCAAGUAGGAAAGAUGAAUUUCACGGAAUGUAUAUGUUUCAUAUUGAGUAUAAUCAGAAUAACUACACAUGUAAAUAUUUUGUGAUCUAUCACAUACUACUUCAUCGAAACGAUUGUUUUGACAAAAGAGGACGAAUAUAAUAUCGUUUCAAUAACAAGGAAUAAUCAAUAGAUUUUUGAAAUGGCUGCUAGGUACAUUGCAGUAAUCGUCUUCAGCUUUGGCCUAAUGCUCGAUAUUCUUCAUUUGAUUUUAACAUAUAACACCUCCUGUACUUAUAUGGAUUUGGUAUGGGACGUACUUUUUCCUCUUUCUACUGAAUCAAGAGUUACAAGAAAGAAAAGUUUGUUAGUUUUAGCUCGUGACUGUCUGGGGUUUUAUCGUAGAAGGGAAAAAAAUUAUAUUUCCUUCUUAGGGACCUUAAUAACAUGGUUUUGUUUUUUCGAACUGCGAAAUUAUAUCGAUAUCUUCUCAUAUUUGUAAAUUUAGAAGAAAUUUAAUAACCUCACAAAUACCCACUAUUGUUUGUGUUUGUCUAGGUAAUGUUAACUUAUUUCAUAUAAUAUGAUCUCUUCAAUGAUAUUAUAUAUAAAUAAUGUGGAAUAUUUUUAUUAUUUGAUUAUAACAUUCCAUUACAGACGGGUGAGAAGGACACAAAACAGGCAUUGCCUAGGUGAUUCUCACCUGUCCAUGGACAUUUUAAUCCAAUUUAUUAUUAUUAUUAUAAUAAAUGAAAAAAUUUGUAACUUUUA
Long non-coding RNA from Harmonia axyridis, 794 nucleotides. RefSeq lists it as uncharacterized. The record is from RefSeq and is a predicted model, not a curated record. Lineage: Eukaryota; Metazoa; Arthropoda; Insecta; Coleoptera; Coccinellidae. The transcript has 2 exons.